Molecule: long non-coding RNA, 303 nt
Organism: Cheilinus undulatus (humphead wrasse)
Lineage: Eukaryota; Metazoa; Chordata; Actinopteri; Labriformes; Labridae
Exons: 3
Source: RefSeq, a predicted model, not a curated record
UAACUGGACUUCAGAGAGUGGCCGAUAGGAUCCAGCUCUACAUCACUCCAAAUCUGCUAUGAGGGGUACAGACAUAUUACAAGAAAAGCAGGAAAAUGACAAGCAAAUGGGAAAACACUUUUUGGGAUCUCCCUUAAAAAUGAUCGUGACUGGCCAUGGCUCUGUGAACUGUGCAUAAAAAAGAAAAUAACCUUACAAAGCCUGCAGUGGAAGCAGAUUCAAAUAAAAAAAAUCCAUGCCUCUUAUGAAAUAAACUACAUUAACUGAAGAGAACAAGUUGCUUUCCACACAGACUGACCUCCA